RNAcentral lists this unclassified non-coding RNA (240 nucleotides) under soil metagenome. RNAcentral's name for it is "partial contains 5.8S ribosomal RNA, internal transcribed spacer 2, and large subunit ribosomal RNA". The record is from RNAcentral.
AACCAUAGAAACCUGCGGAGUACCUGCGGAAGGAUCAUUAACAGUGCCGCGGGGCUCGCCCCCGCAUACGGCCACCCGUGUCUACCUUACCUCUUGUUGCCUCGGCGGGCCCGUCGCGCCUGUCCCCCCUAACCGGGGGCGGUGCGACCGCCAAGCGGCACCAGCCGCCCGGCCCGCGCCCGCCAGAGGACCACGCGAACUCUCUGUGAAUUUUGGCGACGUCUGAGACUUUGAUCAUUA